CCCGAAACCGACACAGGUGGUCAGGUCGAGUAGACCAAGGCGCUUGAGAGAACUCUGCUGAAGGAACUAGGCAAAAUGGUACCGUAACUUCGGGAGAAGGUACGCUGUUGUUGGUGAUGGAACUCGCUUCCUGAGCUGACGACAGCCGCAGAAACCAGGCCGCUGCAACUGUUUAUUAAAAACAUAGCACUCUGCAAACACGAAAGUGGACGUAUAGGGUGUGAUGCCUGCCCGGUGCUGGAAGGUUAAUUGAUGGGGUUAGCGUAAGCGAAGCUCUUGAUCGAAGCCCCAGUAAACGGCGGCCGUAACUAUAACGGUCCUAAGGUAGCGAAAUUCCUUGUCGGGUAAGUUCCGACCUGCACGAAUGGCAUAAUGAUGGCGGCGCUGUCUCCAGCAGAGGCUCAGUGAAAUCGAAAUCGCUGUGAAGAUGCAGUGUACCCGCGGCUAGACGGAAAGACCCCGUGAACCUUUACUGCAGCUUGACACUGAACUUUGACCUUACUUGUGUAGGAUAGGUGGGAGGCUUUGAAGCUGGAACGCUAGUUCCAGUGGAGCCGUCCUUGAAAUACCACCCUGGUAAUGUUGAGGUUCUAACUCUGUCCCGUGAUCCGGGACGAGGACCGUGUCUGGUGGGUAGUUUGACUGGGGCGGUCUCCUCCUAAAGAGUAACGGAGGAGUACGAAGGUGCGCUCAGCGUGGUCGGAAAUCACGCGUAGAGUAUAAAGGCAAAAGCGCGCUUAACUGCGAGACCCACAAGUCGAGCAGGUACGAAAGUAGGUCUUAGUGAUCCGGUGGUUCUGUAUGGAAGGGCCAUCGCUCAACGGAUAAAAGGUACUCUGGGGAUAACAGGCUGAUACCGCCCAAGAGUUCAUAUCGACGGCGGUGUUUGGCACCUCGAUGUCGGCUCAUCUCAUCCUGGGGCUGAAGCAGGUCCCAAGGGUAUGGCUGUUCGCCAUUUAAAGAGGGACGCGAGCUGGGUUUAGAACGUCGUGAGACAGUUCGGUCCCUAUCUACCGUGGGCGCUGGAAAUUUGAGAGGAUCUGCUCCUAGUACGAGAGGACCAGAGUGGACGAACCUCUGGUGUACCGGUUGUGACGCCAGUCGCAUCGCCGGGUAGCUAUGUUCGGAAGGGAUAACCGCUGAAAGCAUCUAAGCGGGAAGCCUACCUCAAGAUAAGAUUUCCCUAGGACUUUAUGUCCUCUAAAGAGCCGUUCGAGACUAGGACGUUGAUAGGUUGGAUGUGGAAGCAUAGUGAUAUGUGAAGCUGACCAAUACUAAUUGCUCGUGAGGCUUGACUAU
This 1299-nucleotide ribosomal RNA is filed under the name Acinetobacter baumannii 1392509. Its description in RNAcentral is "bacterial LSU rRNA". It matches the Rfam family "Bacterial large subunit ribosomal RNA", at positions 1647 to 2925 of the family's 2925-position model. The record is from RNAcentral. Lineage: Bacteria; Pseudomonadati; Pseudomonadota; Gammaproteobacteria; Moraxellales; Moraxellaceae.